Long non-coding RNA from Salarias fasciatus (jewelled blenny), 166 nucleotides. RefSeq lists it as uncharacterized. The record is from RefSeq and is a predicted model, not a curated record. NCBI's taxonomy places the organism in Eukaryota, Metazoa, Chordata, Actinopteri, Blenniiformes, Blenniidae. The transcript has 3 exons.
AGCUUGAGAAAACCUUGAGAAACAUUGCAACACACACAAAAUUCCUGGGGUUUUCUGCCCCCUACAGUCAAAUUUGGGAUAUAACAGUCCUGUGUGCAGUCCAUUUCAGAAUAUAUGUAAGAACUUAUUUUGAACAAAAAGUCAACAUUCAUCAUUUCAAAGCAAU